This 107-nucleotide small nucleolar RNA is filed under the name Theobroma cacao (cacao). Its description in RNAcentral is "Plant small nucleolar RNA R71". It matches the Rfam family "Plant small nucleolar RNA R71". Rfam says of the family: R71 is a member of the C/D box family of snoRNAs containing the C (UGAUGA) and D (CUGA) box motifs. Multiple nearly identical copies of this snoRNA have been identified in Arabidopsis, and it is thought to function as a 2'-O-ribose methylation guide for 18S ribosomal RNA. The record is from Rfam by way of RNAcentral. Lineage: Eukaryota; Viridiplantae; Streptophyta; Magnoliopsida; Malvales; Malvaceae.
AGACCAUGAUAAGGACAGUGCUUAAGUAGGUCUUUGUAUCUUUCCCAAGCUUCGUAUAGCGACUCACCAUCAUAUUGUGUAAACGAAGUAAUAUCGCUCCUUAUAUU